GAGCGAAGUUUUUCUGGUGCUUGCACCGGAAAAACUUAGCGGCGAACGGGUGAGUAACACGUAAAGAACCUGCCUCAUAGACUGGGACAACUAUUGGAAACGAUAGCUAAUACCGGAUAACAGCAUUAACUGCAUGGUUGAUGUUUAAAAGUUGGUUUUGCUAACACUAUGAGAUGGCUUUGCGGUGCAUUAGCUAGUUGGUGGGGUAAAGGCCUACCAAGGCGACGAUGCAUAGCCGACCUGAGAGGGUGAUCGGCCACACUGGGACUGAGACACGGCCCAGACUCCUACGGGAGGCAGCAGUAGGGAAUCUUCCGCAAUGGGCGAAAGCCUGGCGGAGCAACGCCGCGUGAGUGAAGAAGGAUUUCGGUUCGUAAAGCUCUGUUGUUAGGGAAGAAUGAUUGUGUAGUAACUAUACACAGUAGAGACGGUACCUAACCAGAAAGCCACGGCUAACUACGUGCCAGCAGCCGCGGUAAUACGUAGGUGGCAAGCGUUGUCCGGAAUUAUUGGGCGUAAAGCGCGCGCAGGUGGUUUAAUAAGUCUGAUGUGAAAGCCCACGGCUCAACCGUGGAGGGUCAUUGGAAACUGUUAAACUUGAGUGCAGGAGAGAAAAGUGGAAUUCCUAGUGUAGCGGUGAAAUGCGUAGAGAUUAGGAGGAACACCAGUGGCGAAGGCGGCU
This 682-nucleotide ribosomal RNA is filed under the name uncultured Bacilli bacterium. Its description in RNAcentral is "bacterial SSU rRNA". It matches the Rfam family "Bacterial small subunit ribosomal RNA", at positions 64 to 726 of the family's 1533-position model. The record is from RNAcentral. Lineage: Bacteria; Bacillati; Bacillota; Bacilli.